RNAcentral lists this microRNA precursor (97 nucleotides) under Oikopleura dioica. Its description in RNAcentral is "microRNA odi-mir-1a precursor". Its record names the gene odi-mir-1a. Lineage: Eukaryota; Metazoa; Chordata; Appendicularia; Copelata; Oikopleuridae. The record is from miRBase by way of RNAcentral.
CAAAAUCAGCCGGAAAUCGCGAAGCCAUACUUUUUGACAUUCUUUGCUGAACUUUUAAAUGACGCUGGAAUGUUGAGAAGUGUGAUUUGGCGAUUUU